RNAcentral lists this ribosomal RNA (200 nucleotides) under uncultured organism. RNAcentral describes it as "partial small subunit ribosomal RNA". It matches the Rfam family "Bacterial small subunit ribosomal RNA", at positions 1183 to 1382 of the family's 1533-position model. The record is from RNAcentral.
CGUCAAGUCAGCAUGGCCUUUAUAUCCUGGGCUACACACACGCUACAAUGGCCGGUACAAUGGGUCGCCAAGCCGCGAGGCGGAGCCAAUCCCGCAAAGCCGGUCACAGUUCGGAUUGCAGGCUGCAACUCGCCUGCAUGAAGCCGGAAUCGCUAGUAAUCGCGGAUCAGCAUGCCGCGGUGAAUACGUUCCCGGGCCUU